GUUGUGCCGCUGCUUAUCCCUUUGUGAGCUCCACAUGGCAAAUCGGAAAUGCUGACCGCCGCCGUCGCACUCCCCGGCCUGAUGGCAUGGCUGCUACUCCUUGCAGAUUGAUCUGCAAGCUCUGGCGUUGCACGUUAGUUUGGCAGUGGGUUACAGCGGCAGGCUAUCGUUGAUUAUGGCCUAGAGGAUGUGUGUUGCCUGAUCUAGAAUAGCAUUUCAGAAGCUCAGUUGGAAUCUGUGUGCACGUGAAGCUUCUUACUAAAACUUUUCAAUACCGAGUUGUAAUUUUUUGCUUGAAUUAUCAUUAUCAUGUAAUAUAAUGUGCUCUUGCUGUGAACUAACUAAUUUUCUUUUGCUUAAUUUGUAUUGUAGGCUGGUAUAGACCUUCUGUCAUUCUGUGAAAAUUGGAGAACAAAUUUGGCCUUCUAUUCAUGUUCCCUCAGUAUGAUAGGAUUUUUUUGCUCAUCAUUUGAUUGUUUACAUAUUUGCUAUCCUCUUCCUUAUGUUUAGAUUGGAUCUGUUUCUCUUCCUUUUAGGUUAUCAGGAAUGGCUUUGCAAAAAGCAUGUAGACUAACGUACCCUGCCCCCUUUUUUCUUGCUGUGUUCGGCUGUUGGUAGUCUAGAUUUGAGAAGUUACAGUGUAUGUGCUUGAAUAAAGCACCUUGCUAUGGAUAUUUGUGCGCCUGAUAAGUCAAUCUGGGAGUACGUAUUUGAUGUUUCAGUUCAGUGGUAACAAUCAAAAUAGGUGAUCCUAUGACACUCCAGCUAAUGCUAUUAGUUGGUGGGUUUUCUUUUUUUUCUGGGAUCAGUUGCUGGUUAUUGUCUAUUGUUAUAUUACAUCAGUCGAGAAAUGGGCUUUUUAGGGCUAGCAUUCUUUCCUAAAAGCAUCAGUUUUACAGUUUAUCUGUUACUGUGCAUGCUUGAACAUGAAAUUUCUGCCUCUUGCAUUUUCUUUGCUAAGCAAUAGCAUAGGCCUAACAUGUCCCUCUACAUUUGCAUUGCAGUGUUCUGAAAAUUGAGAGCUCAGAUGAUAAGAUAUGAUAUGUAUUGUCAGCUAUGCACAUAAAGUCUCAUAACUGAAACAUGGUAAUCAAAUUUAAGUACCAAAAAGGGGACUGCAGGCUUCAACUUCAGUUAAGAAUAAUCUUGUGAGAGCCUCAACUAUUGAUUUGAAGGAGUAUAAAUGUAGUCAGAUGCAGGAGAAUCCCUGAGGAGUUUUUUUUUUUUUGACAUGAGAAUCCCUGAGGAGUUGAUACAUAACGUCUUCUACAAAGCAUGAAGAAUAGUAUACGAUGUGCUACAUGGCUGGAUAGCAAGAUAUAGGGAAAACGUGAGGUCAAGAAGAAGAUGUGCCUUCCGCCGAGGCCCUCACCAUCGUGCUUCCUGGUGUUUUGAGCGCCUGUGUCACCGUGGCUAGCUACACCCGCACCAUCGCAUUCUUUUCCGCGUGUGUGUCGCUCUUCCUGCUCCACCCAGGGUGCUCCCAUCCUCCUAGCGUGUAAGGAGGCCGCUAUUGCCCACGCCGUCCAGCGUGGUAGAGGCUAUUGCUGUGUACAUCUUUUCAUAGAUAUCCAGCAUUCCAUGAAUUUGUAUUAACUUUUUGCCCUUUGUUUCAAAUAUUUGCAUUUGAUGGUUUCCUGCAAAUGACAGAAUGUUGCUGUGGAGAAAUGUUGCGAGUGUUUCAGAUAUCUGCAAAUGAUCAGCUAUGCCCCUUUUUCUUUUCCCCAGACUGCUAGAGAGGUUCACGUCAUUUGUGGCAGUGUUUCCCAUCUUUUGUGAUGUUACCAUACAAAGAGCAAUCUCAUGGGCUUCCAGGUUCCAGCAAAUGAUCUCUUCUGAUUCUGAUCAAAGAUGAAGGUAACAUUGAAGCCAGCUCAAAAAGGAUAGUACAGUGUAAAGUGCCUCCGAUUUAUGUUGUAUAAUCACUACUCUUUAAGAAAUACUCCCAUAUGUUACCAAAUUGGAAAUGCUGCUAUUCAUUUCUUUCCAUUUAAUCAAAAUGCUAUUGUAUAUUCUUCAAUACUUUUUCUCUCAAAACAGGUCGUGCUGUAGAUCAUGUUUUUUUUCCAGGGGUGUUGUUCAGGAUGUUUCACUCACAAAUAAUACUACAUCGAUCCCCCUUAAGAGAAAAUAGAAUAAAUUGAAUAAAGUUUACUGUCACUUUAAGAGUUAUAUUUCUGAACCUGUGCCUUGCCUGCCUUAGUUGUGACAGCAUAUCCUUAUGACUUUGUUUAGGAUGCUUAAGUUUCUUCCGCAUUGCCCACUCUGCUCAGAAGUGUAUGUGACGUUUUAUACUGAAGCAUGCUGCCACAUUCAGCUUAUUCAACAUAAUUUGCUUACCACAUUCAGUCUUAGAUUAUUGUAUGGAGUAGCAUGUUUUAUGUCUUUUACAUGCGACGGGCGCGGCGUGUCGCCGCGCCAUCGCAGUCUAGUGAACCACAUACAUCUGCAGUGGUAGGAGUAGGAGUAUGCAACUCCACAUGCGUCUCUACCAAUGUUAUCACAAUAGAUUUCCCCUCAUACCCAAAAAGGUUGUUGGGUAGGUCCACUAGCGGCAGGCAUUCAUAGGACAUCUCCAGCGAUACAUACAUCAGACAAGUCGAGGCCAACCGCAUAUGUAUAAAUUUGUAAUGGUACAGUAGGGAAGCAUGCAACUCCACAUACAUAUGUGCAUCGACCAAAGCUGUCACCGUCUAUAAUUUGUCUACAUCCUCCCAAAAAGGGUAUUUGGAACGUCUCGCGCUGAAUGUUCCUAUGGCAUCUCUAGUGUAUAGAGGCAAAAAAAAAAUGUACAGAAAACCCUUGAGGUUGACCUCCUACAUUGGGCCAGACCUUGAGGUCUAACUCAAGCUUCCGGUCAUGGUGGCCAAAUCCGCAUCCAGUGUGGUCAUCGACUCAUCGGGAUGCCGGUUGGUCGGAGAAGGAUUCUUCGAUUGUCCGACAGCAACGAGGGUAUGCAAUAAGCAAUUGCAGCAAUUUCCGCAAGUAAUAUCAUCCCUUCUUGUGAAGACAACUUUAUAACAUGUUGUCAGAAGAAAAGACGGAGUAAGCAUAAUUUGAUCAACAGCCAGCUUUCUUCUGGUAACCGUCAUUAUCAAAAUUCGUUGCAUACUGCAUAAUGGAUAUUCGUUGCAUAUCAGAAGAAAAGAUGGAGUAAGCAAAGCAACUGUCCAAUGAACAACACAUGCACCUAUAGGCUAUAGCCUAUAACACCAGUACUACGGAGUAGUUCUAAUCACAGAUUGGUUGGGAAAUCUGAAGGAAGUCAUCACGCAAUCAACAACAACUUUUCGGUUCUGCGGCACCUCCUCGAUCGCUGAUACUUUAUGCACUUCUGCAAGGAACUAGAUAACAUUAAGAGUUCAUUCAAAGAAUAUCUUAGCCGCAUGAAAAGACCAGCCAAACAUUGCAACAGCAGGGAAGCAACGGAAAUAUCAUCCAGGGUAGGCACAGCACAUGACCCAGUUCCUUACCCCUAUAGGAUGGACAAGAGACGUGCUGCAUUCGUGUAAGCAUAAGAACAUAUCUACAUGGCCACGAUUGGCUCUUCCAGGCCGACCAAUCAAGCUAUGGAAUAGAAAGAAACUAUAUUGGCAACUGAUCUUCUUCCUUUA
Long non-coding RNA from Lolium rigidum, 3614 nucleotides. RefSeq lists it as uncharacterized. NCBI's taxonomy places the organism in Eukaryota, Viridiplantae, Streptophyta, Magnoliopsida, Poales, Poaceae. The transcript is spliced from 5 exons. The record is from RefSeq and is a predicted model, not a curated record.